Haliotis rubra (blacklip abalone) is the source of this 448-nucleotide long non-coding RNA. RefSeq lists it as uncharacterized. The record is from RefSeq and is a predicted model, not a curated record. The transcript has 3 exons. Lineage: Eukaryota; Metazoa; Mollusca; Gastropoda; Lepetellida; Haliotidae.
GUUUGGGCUCGACUGCAGUGAAGAUCAUAUUGGAUUGAAUAAGUUGACUUCGAUCAUUGGCUUCAAUGAAAAUGGCGGACAAAAUCAUCCCAAAUGUGUUUCUUCUCAACCUGAUUGUGGCCUUUAUAUGUGUUACAGCUCAGAUGACCACCCAGUGCCCUGGGGGAGUGGCUCUUCUGGGAUCACAUCACACAAUAGUCGCUGACAGAAGCAACUACACAGGAUUUGCAUGGGUUCGACCAAAAGGUGACAGGUACAUUGUCACCUGCAACCCCAGCUGCAGCCCUAUUGCUGGAUACAAUGCAACCACGAACGUCACACAAUCCACACUUAUCAUAGACAGUGUCGGGAUGGAUGAUAUUGGAACCUGGAGAUUAGUGGACGCAAACGUGUUGGGUGCCAUCCCAGAGGACGUGUGCCAGUUGACAGCAGCUGGUGAGUAUAUAGA